RNAcentral lists this unclassified non-coding RNA (334 nucleotides) under soil metagenome. RNAcentral describes it as "partial contains 5.8S ribosomal RNA, internal transcribed spacer 2, and large subunit ribosomal RNA". The stretch from base 1 to 120 matches the Rfam family "5.8S ribosomal RNA", at positions 35 to 154 of the family's 154-position model. The record is from RNAcentral.
GAUGAAGAACGCAGCGAAAUGCGAUAAGUAAUGUGAAUUGCAGAAUUCAGUGAAUCAUCGAAUCUUUGAACGCACAUUGCGCCCGCCAGUAUUCUGGCGGGCAUGCCUGUUCGAGCGUCAUUUCAACCAUCAAGCCCCCGGCUUGUGUUGGGGACCUGCGGCUGCCGCAGGCCCUGAAAAGCAGUGGCGGGCUCGCUGUCACACCGAGCGUAGUAGCAUACAUCUCGCUCUGGGCGUGCUGCGGGUUCCGGCCGUUAAACCACCUUCAUAACCCAAGGUUGACCUCGGAUCAGGUAGGAAGACCCGCUGAACUUAAGCAUAUAUAAGCGGAGGA